This 253-nucleotide ribosomal RNA is filed under the name uncultured bacterium. RNAcentral describes it as "partial 16S ribosomal RNA". It matches the Rfam family "Bacterial small subunit ribosomal RNA", at positions 524 to 776 of the family's 1533-position model. The record is from RNAcentral.
UACGUAGGGGGCAAGCGUUGUCCGGAUUUAUUGGGCGUAAAGAGCGUGUAGGCGGCUUUACAGGUCCGUUGUGAAAACUCGAGGCUCAACCUCGAGACGCCGGUGGAAACCGUAAAGCUAGAGUCCGGAAGAGGAGAGUGGAAUUCCUGGUGUAGCGGUGAAAUGCGCAGAUAUCAGGAGGAACACCCGUGGCGAAAGCGGCUCUCUGGGACGGUACUGACGCUGAGGCGCGAAAGCUAGGGGAGCAAACAGG